UUGAGAGUUUGAUCCUGGCUCAGAACGAACGCUGGCGGCGCGCUUAACACAUGCAAGUCGAACGGGAUUAUUAUGAAGUAGCAAUACGGAUUAAUAAUUUAGUGGCGAACGGGUGAGUAAUGCAUAGGCAACCUGCCCUUAGGACUGGGAUACUCCCGAGAAAUCGGGCACAAUACCGGAUAAGAUUCCGAGGUGAAAUUCCUUGGGAUAAAAGCUUCGAGCAAUCGCGGUACCUAAGGAGGGGCCUGUGUCCUAUCAGCUUGUUGGUGAGGUAAUGGCUCACCAAGGCUAAGACGGGUAGCCGGACUGAGAGGUUGAUCGGCCACACUGGAACUGAGACACGGUCCAGACUCCUACGGGAGGCAGCAGUGGGGAAUUUUGCGCAAUGGGCGAAAGCCUGACGCAGCGACGCCGC
RNAcentral lists this ribosomal RNA (415 nucleotides) under Nitrospiraceae bacterium. RNAcentral's name for it is "bacterial SSU rRNA". It matches the Rfam family "Bacterial small subunit ribosomal RNA", at positions 1 to 400 of the family's 1533-position model. The record is from RNAcentral. Lineage: Bacteria; Pseudomonadati; Nitrospirota; Nitrospiria; Nitrospirales; Nitrospiraceae.